AUGGUGUAUUCCCGUGGUCGCGAUUUCUUGUUCUGUAACUUGUGCGGGACAAUGCUCGAGGUUUCCUCAACAGAAUACGCAAAAUGCCCCUUGUGCAAAACCAAACGAAACAUAAAAGAUGUUAAAGGAAUCAUGGGAAAUAAUGAUGAGGAUUCACCAUGGAAAUCUGUUUCAAAUGCGAUGGACAAAUUUAGUGGACAGUCGGAAGAAGAAAGUUUGAAUGUGUAA
Vicia faba (fava bean) is the source of this 228-nucleotide non-coding RNA. The record is from the annotation of a GenBank genome assembly. NCBI's taxonomy places the organism in Eukaryota, Viridiplantae, Streptophyta, Magnoliopsida, Fabales, Fabaceae.